RNAcentral lists this transfer RNA (66 nucleotides) under Sphaerodactylus townsendi. Its description in RNAcentral is "tRNA-Ala". Lineage: Eukaryota; Metazoa; Chordata; Lepidosauria; Squamata; Sphaerodactylidae. The record is from RNAcentral.
GGGACUCAGCGGUAGAGCUUCUGCUGUGCACGCAAAGGGUCCCAGGUUCAAUUCCUGGUGCCUCCA